UACGAAGGGGGCUAGCGUUGUUCGGAAUUACUGGGCGUAAAGCGCGUGUAGGCGGGUCUUUAAGUCAGGGGUGAAAUGCCAAGGCUCAACCUUGGAACUGCCUUUGAUACUGGAGAUCUUGAAUCCGGGAGAGGGAUGUGGAAUUCCAGGUGUAGCGGUGAAAUGCGUAGAUAUCUGGAGGAACACCGGUGGCGAAGGCGGCGAUCCUGGACCGGCAUUGACGCUGAGGCGCGAAAGCUAGGGGAGCAAACGGG
Molecule: ribosomal RNA, 254 nt
Filed under: uncultured bacterium
Lineage: Bacteria
Description: partial 16S ribosomal RNA
Rfam family: Bacterial small subunit ribosomal RNA
Source: RNAcentral